Non-coding RNA from Triticum aestivum (bread wheat), 126 nucleotides. The record is from Rfam. NCBI's taxonomy places the organism in Eukaryota, Viridiplantae, Streptophyta, Magnoliopsida, Poales, Poaceae.
UUAAUACUCCUUCCAUCCGGAAUUACUUGUCGCAGAAAUGGAUAAAAAUGGAUGUAUCUAGAACUAAAAUAUGUCUAAGAUACAUCCAUUUCUCUGACAAGUAUUUCCAGAUGGAGGGAGAAGUAA